UACGUAGGGGGCAAGCGUUGUCCGGAUUUAUUGGGCGUAAAGAGCGUGUAGGCGGCUUGACAGGUCUGCUGUGAAAACUCGAGGCUCAACCUCGAGAUGUCGGCGGAAACCGUCUGGCUAGAGUCCGGAAGAGGAGAGUGGAAUUCCCAGUGUAGCGGUGAAAUGCGUAGAUAUUGGGAGGAACACCAGUGGCGAAGGCGGCUCACUGGACCGGAACUGACGCUGAGGCGCGAAAGCGUGGGGAGCAAACAGG
Molecule: ribosomal RNA, 253 nt
Filed under: uncultured bacterium
Lineage: Bacteria
Description: partial 16S ribosomal RNA
Rfam family: Bacterial small subunit ribosomal RNA
Source: RNAcentral